RNAcentral lists this ribosomal RNA (466 nucleotides) under uncultured bacterium. RNAcentral's name for it is "partial 16S ribosomal RNA". It matches the Rfam family "Bacterial small subunit ribosomal RNA", at positions 29 to 507 of the family's 1533-position model. The record is from RNAcentral.
UACUAACUCUUUCUUCGUGCUUAACACAUGCAAGUCGAACGGUAAGGCUCCAGCUUGCUGGGGUACACGAGUGGCGAACGGGUGAGUAACACGUGGGUGACCUGCCCUGCACUUCGGGAUAAGCCUGGGAAACUGGGUCUAAUACCGGAUAGGACCAUGGUGUGGAUACUGUGGUGGAAAGUUUUUUCGGUGUGGGAUGGGCCCGCGGCCUAUCAGCUUGUUGGUGGGGUAAUGGCCUACCAAGGCGGCGACGGGUAGCCGGCCUGAGAGGGUGGACGGCCACAUUGGGACUGAGACACGGCCCAGACUCCUACGGGAGGCAGCAGUGGGGAAUAUUGCACAAUGGGCGGAAGCCUGAUGCAGCGACGCCGCGUGGGGGAUGACGGCCUUCGGGUUGUAAACUCCUUUCACCAUCGACGAAGGGUUUCUGACGGUAGAUGGAGAAGAAGCACCGGCUAACUACGUG